CGAGUCCUGGCUCAGAACGACGCUGGCGGCGCGUUUAAGCAUGCAAGUCGAGCGGCAGGGGGGCCUCGGUCCCCCGAGAGCGGCGGACGGGUGAGUAACACGUGGACAACCUGCCCCCCGGUUCGGGAUAGCCCAGGGAAACCUGGAUCAAUACCGGAUGCGAGGGCGGCCGCACAAGCGGCCGUCGGGAAAGGCGCUUCGGCGCCGCCGGGGGAUGGGUCCGCGUCCCAUUAGCUAGACAGUGGGGUAACGGCCCACCGUGGCGAUGAUGGGUAGCCGGCCUGAGAGGGUGGACGGCCACAUUGGAACUGAGACACGGUCCAGACUCCUACGGGAGGCAGCAGCUAAGAACCUUCCGCAAUGGGCGAAAGCCUGACGGAGCGACGCCCGCGUGAACGAAGAAGGCCGUGAGGUUGUAAAGUUCUUUUCGGGAGGGGGAACGAGGCUGCCAGGCAAUGGGCGGCCGAUGACGUGAAUCCCGGAAUAAGCCCCGGCUAACUACGUGCCAGCAGCGGC
Molecule: ribosomal RNA, 516 nt
Filed under: uncultured bacterium
Lineage: Bacteria
Description: bacterial SSU rRNA
Rfam family: Bacterial small subunit ribosomal RNA
Source: RNAcentral